CGUGUAGGCGGGUCUUUAAGUCAGGGGUGAAAUGCCAAGGCUCAACCUUGGAACUGCCUUUGAUACUGGAGAUCUUGAGUCCGGGAGAGGUGAGUGGAACUGCGAGCGUAGAGGUGAAAUUCGUAGAUAUUCGCAAGAACACCAGUGGCGAAGGCGGCUCACUGGCCCGGAACUGACGCUGAGACGCGAAAGCGUGGGGAGCAAACAGGAUUAGAUACCCUGGUAGUCCACGCUGUAAACGAUGGAUGCUAGCCGUUGGGGAGCUUGCUCUUCAGUGGCGCAGCUAACGCUUUAAGCAUCCCGCCUGGGGAGUACGGUCGCAAGAUUAAA
This 330-nucleotide ribosomal RNA is filed under the name uncultured bacterium. Its description in RNAcentral is "bacterial SSU rRNA". It matches the Rfam family "Bacterial small subunit ribosomal RNA", at positions 568 to 898 of the family's 1533-position model. The record is from RNAcentral.